GUUGAAUUUUACUCAUGGAAAGGAGAUGAUUAUUCCAGGUUCAGAUUAAUGUUUGUUUCCAUGAUUUCAUGAUUUUGGCUCUGGUUUCCCAAAAUUCUGUUUAUUUCCUAAGUACUUUCUGUCUCGUAGGUCAAGAGGUGUGUAUGAUUAAUAUUUUUCCUAGCACACCAGUCCCUUCCUUUCCUCAGCUCAUACCCUUGAGAUGGAUCACAUACAUAAAGAUUAUGUUACUUCCAACUCUUUAGCAGAUGAGCGUGUCCAGGAAGCUGCUAGAGUCUACAAGCCAAGGAAGAGCUUUGCAGUACUGACGGCGGUGAUAAUUCUCUGUAAUACUCACCAUGGAACAGGCCAACUUGAAAGAUGGCAAGACCAUCCCAGGGGCCUGGCCCAGAGGGCGCGCUCUGCCCGACCGCCCGACCCACUGCCGAUGCCCAGCAGGGAGGCCUGCACGGCCCAGACCCAGGCUCCAAGCAC
This 474-nucleotide long non-coding RNA is filed under the name Fukomys damarensis (Damara mole-rat). RNAcentral's name for it is "lncRNA (ENSFDAG00000023157.1)". Lineage: Eukaryota; Metazoa; Chordata; Mammalia; Rodentia; Bathyergidae. The record is from RNAcentral.